GAAAAUGAAGGAAAGGAUGAACAGUGGAGAUCAAUAUGCUUGGAUUUGUCAACAAGCAGUGCAUGAGGGAAGAGCAAAACAAAUUUCUGUCAGACACAAAUCAAUCUUCAGUGGAUCAAAGGUUUCCUUCAGUUUUCUCAGGGUCUAAGGUUACGCCAGAUAGACAUGAUGGAUGACAGGUCUGUGUCACAGCAGUUGAAAGGAUGAGAAGGCGUACAGGCCAGAUGAUUGGUGGAAGAAGGGAGUUCGUUGUGAUCGACGGAAGUCAUUUUCAACACAAAAGAAAGAGGAAGAAUGGCUGGUGGGUGGAAAAGAAAAAAGUGGGUCUUUGGGAUGUUAGGUGUGAGGCAUCAUCAGCAGCAAAGAUCAGGAAAACCCAUUCUACGUCUUCUGGAGAGAAGGUCUCGAAGACAUCAAGUCCCCUUGAUUGCUCGUCAUGUAAGGCCUGGGUCAUCAAUUAUCAGUGACGAAUUACUCCCUGCACUUGGGUACAAUCAUCACACUGUCAACCACAGCAGGUGGUAUGUAGAUCCCCACACUGGU
Cyprinus carpio carpio is the source of this 543-nucleotide long non-coding RNA. NCBI's taxonomy places the organism in Eukaryota, Metazoa, Chordata, Actinopteri, Cypriniformes, Cyprinidae. The record is from Ensembl.